This 74-nucleotide transfer RNA is filed under the name Leptolinea tardivitalis. It matches the Rfam family "tRNA". Rfam says of the family: Transfer RNA (tRNA) molecules are approximately 80 nucleotides in length. Their secondary structure includes four short double-helical elements and three loops (D, anti-codon, and T loops). The record is from Rfam by way of RNAcentral. RNAcentral also lists the same sequence under 3 other names. Lineage: Bacteria; Bacillati; Chloroflexota; Anaerolineae; Anaerolineales; Anaerolineaceae.
GGGCGGAUAGCUCAGUUGGUUAGAGCACACGGUUGACAUCCGUGAGGUCGCAGGUUCGAGCCCUGUUUCGCCCA